ACUCAAAGGAAUUGACGGGGGCCCGCACAAGCGGUGGAGCAUGUGGUUUAAUUCGAAGCAACGCGAAGAACCUUACCAGGGCUUGACAUCCCUUGACCACCUCAGAGAUGAGGUCUCUCUUCGGAGCAAGGAGACAGGUGGUGCAUGGUUGUCGUCAGCUCGUGUCGUGAGAUGUUGGGUUAAGUCCCGCAACGAGCGCAACCCUUGCUUUUAGUUGCCAUCAUUAAGUUGGGCACUCUAAAGGGACUGCCGGUGACAAACCGGAGGAAGGUGGGGAUGACGUCAAAUCAUCAUGCCCCUUAUGUCCUGGGCUACACACGUGCUACAAUGGUCUGUACAGAGGGAAGCUAAAGGGCGACCUGGAGCGGAUCCCACAAAACAGAUCUCAGUUCGGAUUGCAGGCUGCAACUCGCCUGUAUGAAGUCGGAAUCGCUAGUAAUCGCAGGUCAGCAUACUGCGGUGAAUACGUUCCCGGGCCUUGUACACACCGCCCGU
This 495-nucleotide ribosomal RNA is filed under the name uncultured bacterium. Its description in RNAcentral is "bacterial SSU rRNA". It matches the Rfam family "Bacterial small subunit ribosomal RNA", at positions 899 to 1397 of the family's 1533-position model. The record is from RNAcentral.